GGGACUGUAGCUCAGUUGGUUAGAGCACU
This 29-nucleotide transfer RNA is filed under the name uncultured Treponema sp. RNAcentral's name for it is "partial tRNA-Ile". The record is from RNAcentral. Lineage: Bacteria; Pseudomonadati; Spirochaetota; Spirochaetia; Treponematales; Treponemataceae.